GCUGGCAGCUGUAGCUCCAAUUUGACAUCUAACCUGGGAACCUCCAUAUGCCACAAGGGUGGCCCUAAAAAGCAAAAAAUAAAAUAAAAUGAAGUAAAAUAUACAACAAAAGGUACUGUUAUUAUUCUGUAGCCAUGAUACACAAAUUAGGUAUGUUAAUUAUAGCAAAAGUCUUAAAAUAAACUUAGUAUAUAAUAAGUAUACGUUUGGCACCACCAAUGAAAAUAUUUUUACUGAUUUAUUUUUUUUCUUAGGGUAAAAAGAUAAUCCACCUUGUCUGUGUAAUUUCAGCCUUUUCAUUUUUUCUUUUUUUUUUUCUAUGUCUAUAACCUUUCCAUUUCUCUUUCUCACAGAGUACUGCAUUUAUUUUCAUUAUAUACUCAGCUGUUUCCCUAUAGUCUUAAUCCAUUUCUUCCAAGAUUUCAGAAUCAUUAUUGUUACUCUUAGGGACAGUAUCAGAAACCAUCAGAUACAGUUUUUACGUGUUUGUCUUUAAUAAACCACAAAUUGUCAGAGAGAGAAGACUUUAGCCGCCCAGGACAUGAUAUUUUCAUUUCUUGCUAUGUAAUGUCUCGUGUCUUUAUCAUUUUUUUCCAGUUACUAAACCACUCAUUGGCUUUUAUCCAUUUAUAAAAUAUCAUAUAUUCAUAUAUAUAGAAAGAGUAAAAUAGAAAUAAAGAAUAAAAUAGAAAGAGGUGGAAGUCAAGGAGAGACAUGCUAACAGUUACCAAACAACUAUAGAGAAUUCAUUCAGAUCAAAGAAAGUUGGGCGUUAUUUGACAGUCUUUAAUGGGAAGCAGCUGCUUUGGGAAGUCUUCUGGAAUAAUUUGUUCUACUCUAGACUUGCAAAGGACUGUGCCAUCUCCAAAGAAUUCAGAUCAUUGAACCUUUUUUAAUUUCCUUCUCCUGUUCAAUUCAAGAGAUGUGAUGCAAGGUGAUGUUUCAAUGGAUGUCUGACCGAAGUGUCAGGCUCUGUAAAUACUCUGUUUCCCGGGGUGAAGUGCUACAAAACGCAUAUUCAGUAGAGCAGAAAUAGCCUUGCCUUUCCCGCACUUCCUGUGGCUGCUGUAGGUGGAAAGCAAUGAAUUCAGAAUUCUCAUGUCCGUCAGGCCAACUUCCCAAUGAGCUUUGCUUCAGGCACCCUGGAUAUUGCCACAUGAUAACUAUAUUUCAUUUGUUCUCAGAUGUUUGCAGCUAAAGGGCUAUGUUUCAGGGCUCGCAUUUCUGCCGCACAACCAACCUUACCAGCUUCUGCUACCCGUAAAUAAAUAUCCAUCAGAAUUUGCUAGAAUUUAUUAUAAGAAUGGCCUUCUGUUUCAUGCGUUAUCAACAGCCAUGAAGCCUGAUUCCUAUCAUCUCUCCAAAUAAAACAAUAAAUUCAUGUUAUUACCUAAUAGUAAACAGAAAUCAUUAACAGAUCAGUGGAGGAAUUUUGAAUCUUGAAAAGGUGAUUCUUAGAGGAUAUUGAGAAAAACAGGAUUUCUAGGUAUUGUGAGAAACAGGAGGAAAAAAUGGUGUCGUUUACACCGGAAGUUACCGGCCUUCAAAUUCAUGACUACCAGAAAGUCUGAAAUUCAAAAGGCGUGAGUUCUCUUCUCUGCCACUGACUGUUGGAGACUCAGCUCUGAUCGAAUUGGAUGAAGAGACUUGUAGAUCAUCUGGCAGCUUCUCCCGUCCUUUACCUCACUCUCUCUCUCUUUUUUUUUCCCAAAAACAAAGUGCUGAGUGAUUGAUCAAGGCCUUCAAGCCUCCCACGUCCCUUCUGUCCCCCCCCUCCCCCCGCAAACACCUGUGCGGGAUCCUCAAUGUCCCCCUUUUCUCCUCGCCCAUUUCUGCAAAGAAGUGGACGUGCCAGGCUGAUCCCCCGACUGCGCGUUGGCUCCAUCUUCGCUUGAAUCCAGAGGAAGACUCUGGGGUCUUCUUCCAACAAUGACCUUUUCUCCUUUCUUUAAUUAACUUCUCUUCCACUUCCCAGGAAAGAAAAUCAAAUUGCACUGCAUCCAAACCCCCAUAGGUCUGGUGAUCUUUGGAAAAUACGUUGGCCAUCUUAUUAGGGGAAAAUAUAUGCAAAAGGAGAAAGAACAGAAUAAUGAGCUCCCAUUCAUGCCACACUCAACUUCAGCAGUCACAGAUCCUGGCCACCCUUGUUUCACCUCUACCUCCAUCCCUUGCCUCCCUGUCGGAGUAUUUUGAAACAAAUCCCAGAUAUUAAAUCAUGUCUAGUAUUUAUCAGGAAAAUAGAACUCUCAUGAAACAUAACAACGUCAUUCCCACACUUUAAAAUUAACAGGAAUGCUUUAAGAACCACAAGAUAUCCAGUUGAUGUUCACAUUUUCCCAGCUGUCUCGGAUAAUUUUUUAAGAGGGUUUGAGUCAAGAUUCGGAUGAGAUCAUCCUUUGCAAUUAGUUGAUGUUUCUCUUUGGUCUCUUCCUCUCUCUGUGUCUGUAACGUAUUUGUUGAAAAACCUGUAUGUUUGUUACAUGGAGUUUCCCACAGCCUGGAUUGUGCUGAUUUUGUCUUGUCGUGUCAUUUGGCAGGUUCUGAACCUAUGAGUCCUACAAAUUGGUGGUUGGAUUUGGAGGCUCCAUCAGAUUCAAAUUUUAUAUUUUUGCAAGAAAUGCCUUUUAGAUGGUUUUCUCUACCUCAGUGAGGAGACAUAUCGCUGAAAUGUGGUCAUUUCAUCAAUCUCUUCAUCCAUCCAUCUAUCCAUCCAUCCAUUUAUUCAGCUAUUCCUUCACCAAGCACUCAGAAUGACUCCUCACAGUGGAAAGAAAAUCAGCUUUGGACUCACACCUCUAAUAGGAAAAUGCCAUUCUGCCUCUUGCCAGCUGUGUGAUCUUGGAAAAUCUGCUCAACCCCGCUGAGCCUCAGUUCUCUGAAUAAAGAAUGACCAGGCAAUACUCUUUGAAAAUUGGAGACCAUUUGCAGCUGCUCUCUGUUGAGGAAAGUGAAUAAUAGGGUGCCCUCAAGGAAUUUCGAAGGUAUCACUCAACAGAAACUUUUGUGUCUGAAGAAAACUAGAUCAUUUUAUCAUGGUAGGCACAGUGAUAUGUUUGCUUUAAUAAAAUGCCAUAUUUCUGCCUUUAAUCUCUUGUCAACCAGCUAUUAAAAAGCCCCAAAGUGCAUGCGUGCAGCACAUGUAAACACUUGUGGUUUUGAGGUUACCACAGAACAUACUAAUAAAGCAUGUAAUUUGUGUUUUGUGCACAGACUGUAAUAAUUUAUUGAGUGGUAGAAAGAAGCUAAAGAAGGAUUUUCUCCAACGUUAGCCAGCAAGUCAAUUUAAUUUUAGGGCUCUAUGCAGAGGUGCAUGUAGACACAUGUUCAUACAAUGAAAUCAUGGGGAAACAGCAUGAGAAAGCCUCUAGAAUGAAAGUGGGGCAAAAUGUAAACUAAUUUCAUACACACCAAACACGUUCUAUUAAGUAUUUUCAUGUUGUUCCUUUAAGCUAAUCAGUUGGGAGGGUGUGCUGCGUAUUGUUUCCCGAAGCUGUGUAUGUUGUGUGUGUGUGUGUGUGUGUGUAUGUGUGUGUUGUGUGUUGGGGGGGGUAUGUGAGAUACACUGAGAACACAUUGGCGGAAUGUAGAGUAAGUUUAUUCAGGUAAACUGAGAUAAAUCAUCACAGCCAUCUUUUUAAAUUUUGUGGACAUGACCUCCCUAGCCCCUGUGGAAAGCAAGCAGACAAUAGCUUUGUUCCUUUUUAAAUACUGAAUAACAAAAUGUGGAAAAGUCGAAUCACUUUUAUAGGAUCAUGGAAGAACUUACUGUCUGACUACAGUUUCUAACAUGUUUCUUGGAGCAGGUGAUGGAUCUGUUUAUGCAAGACCCUCUUAAGUCAGGAUUGCAUGUUGGUUUCACGAAACAUCCUUCGUGAAAUACCUUGUUCCCCACUCACAAGAAAUGCAGAUCUUGAAUAGAAAAGCCUUGAGCGCAAGGACAAAAUGAGAACCUCACUGUAUCCAUGCCAAUUUCUGGAAAAUUUUGUGAAAUUCUGUAGUUUGGGAAUAAAACCAUACUUUAUUUAUGCAGACAAACAAAAACAUGUUCAGUUUAGAGAAAACGUCUGUGCCCAGAGGAAAUGGGUCUUAGAAAGUCUAAAUGUGUUUAUUCCAAAAAGAUACAAGGCUUCUGGCCUGGAAAGCAAUUCACCAUUAUCUACGCUUUUUUUCCUCUUAAAAUGUAUAUUCAUAGGUUUAUUUUCACUGCAGACAAAUCUUUUUGAAAUUUGAGGCUGAAUUAAAAUGAAUCCUUUGUGUCACUUUUAAGCCAUAACCCACUUCUUCAUUUGCUUAUCUAAUCAACCAAUUCCCAUUGACCCCUGGGGAUUGAAGAGCUUCCUGUGGCCAUUGGAAAACACAGAGGCAUUUUGUAAAUCUGUAAGGAGACAACAGUCCAAUGUGCCUGAGAGCCGUCCUGUUUAGCACAGAAUUGAAAUUGCACCCAAGUAUUCAAGGCCAAUCAAACCUGGGAAGGAGUUUUUUAGAAGAGACUCAGCCAGUUUUCUAGCCUCAUGAGAAGGAAACCAUCCUUUCUGUGGCCUAAACUACGCCACUCUUGAAUCAUUUCCUCAUAUAAUAAAGACAUACAGAGAGAGGAGAGGGGAAGGAAGGGGGAGGGCAAAGGAAGGAAAGAGAAAAACCAAAAAAGAAAGGUGAGAACUAGGAAGGCGCAUUAUUCCAAUGUUUAUCUUGGAUAUAAUUGGCUGGUAGUAUUUUGUUUUGCAGUAACUGCAGCUCUGAAGGCAAUGUUCGUAAAAAGCCAGGAACAAAUAUUUUUGGGGUUAAUAAAAGUUAUAAUUUGGAAGAUUUUCAAUUGGCAAAGAAAUGUAACAGAUAUGAAAAGUAGAGACUAGCUCUGCACGCGGUUGAAUUAAAUCAAGCUUAAUUGGGGGUUUUUGGCUUAACAUCCUUUUUGGUAUUUUUCUGUGGGUUUCUCAACCCUGUGGGGAUGUCAGGUCAUCUUUCAUGAACUAUCUUUUAACUGAACCAGUGUCUUUUAACACACAUACAGAGGGGAGGAAGGGCUGGUAGACAGACAAGAUUCAGAGUCAAAACAAAGGUAGCUGCCGGGGUCCUGUUUAAAUCUGUAACUCUGCAAGUUUGCAAAGGUUCACACAUUUCAGACUUUGUUUUAUUUUAAUAUAAUGAUCAAAAUAGCUUCUGAAAUGUUUUAGAUGACAGAUACAAAAGAAUGAUAACAAUAGAGAAUAAUACAAAAGUGAAUCAAUUUGGAACAGUAGGUAUAGACUAAAUUAAAAUUAUUUAAAAAUCAAAUCAGUAUCUACUAUUUUCUUCUUUAGGACUUAAAAAAAAACAUUAUGCACAAAGGCUAUAAUUCCUAUUUACAGUAGUUAAUUUAAAAUAAUUUCACGAUUGCAAUUGGAGCCAUAAUUGUUACCAAAAUACACAGACAUCUCGGACAUCACAGGACAUAAUCCAAGUUGAGGCUCACUAAAUCUUCUGGUACCUACAUACAUGUGAGACCUAUAAAACUAGUUAUUUUUUUCCUCAUAAAUGAAGAAUAAAAGUAAUACUUUUUCUUUUUUUUUUAUCCCCACAGAGCUUAUAUGUAUUUCUUUAUAUUGAGGUAUAUAAUGAACUGACGAAUAAAAAUCUAGAGAGUCUGGAAGUUUCCCUUGCCCUUGACCAGGAACAAGCUGUGGACGCCUUUAAGAUCUGUGCCGAUGCAGGUACUGUUCCCCAGGUGAGGCCCAUGUAUUUGCACUUGCUCUUGAUGGCUUUAUUGGGGGUUCUCGGCUAUACGUUCAGAAAAAGGGAUUUCUACUUAGCAUUGACAAGCUAAACCAAAAGUAGAAUAUAUUCAUCAAUUGUUUUCCCCAGAGCAUUCUUCUGGCAAGAAAUGUCAACACUUUAAGCACAUGCCAGUGACCAUCUGUGUACAGAUGUCUAUAAGAGGCAUUUGUGGUUUGUCUCUUUCAGAUUAGAUUAAGGAUGCCCAUGAAGAAAGGGAUGAAACAACCUUUCCCUGUAGUCUGUGUCACUGCUUCCUCUAUAUUUUCUGAUCUAGGAGUAGCAGGUACCCUGGCUGUUUCUUGAAAUCAUACUUUAUUUUCCAAACAAGGGCAUUUGAUGCCUGAAAUUCCUGCUGGGGAAUUUAUUUCACUGACUUGCGUCUCCAAGAAAAAGGAAAUUGAAUGUAGCGGGGCCCAGAUUCAGCAUGAGAAACUGAUUCAGGAGUAGCCUUCUUAGUAGGAGGUGUCAAGGAAUCUUCCUAACAAAGCUCGCCUUUGCACCUUUGCGAUGGGAGAAAUCAAAGCACAGAAGUUGGAGCUGAGGAAACUGCCUCAUGGUCAGAAAGGGUGAUUCUGAGAUCAGAGGAUCUGUCACCUGUAUCACCCCCUGUAUCAUCCUCUGGUCCAGCCCUGUGAGAUCUGCCUGACUGUGAGAGAGGGAGAUAUGAGAGAGAGAGAAAAAUGUUUCUGUUUCGGUGGGAAUACAGCUUCGUGGCUGUGUAGUGGGUGAUCAUAUGGUUGCAGGAUGUCCCCAGGUGGCAGAAAGCUCAGCUCUAGGUGGCUUCUCAGAGGCCCUACAGAACCCAGCCCUGACUUGUUCUGAUUGCCUGUGGAGAGUUUCAGGUUCUAGAAAGUCCAUGAAGGGAAAUUUCAGUGGCAUUAAACACAAUGGAAAGACCAGGUUGGCAACCUCAGGAAGCUGGAGCAGAAUAGGACAAGGGCCAGUAUCUGAGCACUGACUCUGUGCCUGGAAAUGUUCUAAGUGUUUGUAUUAGGGAAGAGCAAAUCUGACUCCAUAUGAGUUCUGUUUCUCUCACUUUAACCUUGAUGCUCUGUUGUCUGUGCUUUGUCAUGCCGGCUCUGCCCCUUCUGUAAAGGAAUGUUGCCUAUAUCCUGAAAUAUACAGGGUAGCCUAUCUCAAGGCAAUGCCUUUAACAGUCUAACACUUUUCCGUUCAUACAGAGAUAAAAAGUUGCAGCACAGAGAAUAUUUGUUUUGCUGGAGGUUUAUAGGAACGUUGUGACCUGGCCUGUGUGGACAGUUGCACGAAAAAAGGAUUCCUACACCAACAAGUUUGCAACAACCAACCACCCCCCUCCUUCACCUGAUCUUUAAAAAUGCUUUGCUGAAACCCUUGGAGGCGUUCAGGAUCUUUGGCACAUGAGUCGCCCAUCUCCUAGCGAGGCCCAGCAAUAAACCUUCCUCUGCGCCAAACUCUGACCUUGUGUUUGGCUUCAUUGUGCAUUCGAGAACAUGUUAACUUUUACUCCUCAGAACAACUCUGUGAGUUAGAUCUCUUUAGUAUUCCCAUUUUUAUAGGCAAGACAAUGGAUGCACAGAGAGGUUAAGCAAUUCGACCAAUGUCACACAGCCAAAAGGGGCAGAGCCACUAUUUUAAACCAGGUAGAAGAGGAAAGUGAGUGACUUUUCUAGAAGCUGAGAAACAUUCAGGGUAAAUGUGAAGGAGGAAUUUUUGUUUCGAAGAGGCAUCUGGAGUGCUGAAAGAGCCAGGAAGAUUGUGAAGCCAUUUUUUUUUUUUUAAAGUCUUAAGUUAAUGUGGCCUGACAGCAUUGCUUUAGAAGCAGUAGAGCAGCAAAUACCUUUCUCAUACUUAGCCCCAUUGGGCGCUGCACUUGAAAUGAGCUCCAAGAGAACAGGAGAGGCAGAUGCAUGUCUCAGAUUCCUGGCAUCAUCAGGCACUGGUCCAGGUUGCUACCACACCCACUUUCAUGUCUGUUUUAUAGCUGAGGAAAUGGAUUCAGAGAAACUAAGCAACGUUCCGAAGUCCCACAGCGACAAAGUUGCAGAAAUGGGAUUCAGACUGCAGGUCUGAUAAAUUCCGAAGGCCAUGUUCUUUUUAGAAUACCGUAUUGCACCUCUCCAAAGAGAUAUACCAGAAAAAACAAAACAAAACAAAACCUGUGGACUUAUCAAGUAGACUUAAAUGUGGACUUUUUUUUUAAUAUGAUUUUUAUUUUUUUCAUUAUAGCUGGUUGACAGGGUUCCGUCAAUUUUCUCCUGUACUUUAACAAGAAAGCAUCUUUUUUGUUAAAAAAGUGACAUCUACAUCAAAUGUUUAAUGAUUGAAUUGAUAGUUCCCUUGAAUUAAACAUUCCUCAGAAUACAAUUGAUGGGGUUUUUAUUCAGCUCCUUAAAAUUACAAAGAAAGAACAUCAGCAGCACUAUCGCCAGGGAUUCAGUCGUUAACUGGAGGUUCUAACAGCGCAUCCAUCCGUGCUGCUUCGGAUUAGGAGGAGGACACGUCAAACGUGCAAAUUUGCCCAAAUGCCUAGAAAGUGCUUUGAAAGCAAGACUGUGACUGUUUGGUACAAACUGGUUGGUGAGCCGGUCAAAACCUCUGAUGCAGAAAGAACACCCUCAGCUUCACCGGGGCGGGGAUUUUCCCACAUGUUUAUAUUAAUUAAAUGACCUGCUUCUGCUAUAAAAUGUUUCUCCCACCUCUUCUCCUGGAGCCCACACGCUACGUCAAACCUCAGGUUUGAGAGUGCGGAGAACAGCUCCUGAGUUUAAUGAGUUAUAUGUGGAAAGUUGUUUGGGAAUCAAAUCCAUCGUCUCCGAAGACAGUUGGUAUAAUGAUGGCUUCCUUUAAAAUCCUUCCACUCAACCUCUCUGCGGAUUCAGAGAGCAGCCUGGGGGAGGGAGGGAAGAGAGGUUUGGUGUCAUAAGAACAGAGUUUUGAGUCUUUCAGUAAAGGGAGAGCACUUAUGAAAUCACAGAUUAGGAGCCACGUUUGUAAGUAAUGGGAAUAUUGGCACCUGUACCCUAGCACUUCUUAGGUGCCAGGCUUCUAAAUACGUUAGGUAUUUGUCAGGCUUUACCAUUCUGUGAGGUUCGUGCUAUAAUAGACCGCAUUUUACCAACACAGAGAUGUUAACUCAUGUGCCCAGAGUCACAUCUCUGAUAAAUGGAACCAGAAUUUGUCAAACAAGGAAAAACAGAUCCAGCCUUGUGGUUCUGAGUUUCACUUAAAAGGUACGUAUAUGAAAGGACUCUGUAAACGCUGAAGAGUGAUAGGUGUUUUGUUUUUUUUUAUGCUAAGUGAAAAUACCUUGGAGAAUAAAACAAAGGAGGAAAAAUAUCUUCCUUUUUGAUGAACGCAGGACAGCCCUCCACACAAUGUGGAGGUGAAUUCCGUCUUUGGGAAUCUUGCUCUGCUCUGCCCUGCCAGCAUUUCAUGCUGAUUCUCUGAGCUUCUCUGGCCCUUUCUCCUGACCUGGCUAAAUUCAGGAAGCUCACAGCUGAGGCCUCCUUGGACUUUUAGGGGGGACAGGGUGGUGCGAAGGGGGAGGUACUGUUUGUGUUUUCCUGAUGCUUUGACAGCAGUGAGGGCAAAACACGCAAAGCGCUGGGUCCGUGGUUUUUGCUGCAGUGGUUCAGGCCCCAUCACACGCUCCUCCUUCCCCUUCCCCCAGGGUUCGGAAGCAGAGGCGAGUGAUGGAGAGGGCUCCUUUGGGUUGUUUGGAAAUUGGGAACUAGCAGUGAUAUUUCCAGCUAUUGUUCACAACUGAAGUUAAAAUAUGAACUUCUGACUAUUUAGGAAGUCAAAUAGGAAGACCGAUUUAGAGAACAUUCCAAAUAGAAUUGCUCUUUUUAGAGUUUUAACCUCGUCUCACACUGAAACUUGACAGACCAAAGACUUAAAAGAUUAGACUUUCAACCUCAUAGAUUCAUAAUAUGGAAGAAACUUAAGUUCAACAAACACGAAAUAUUUAUUUAAUUUUAUAUACUUAUUUAUUUUGAACCCAGUCGCAUCUCAUGUUAUCACCUGCUGAAAUCAAGACGGUUCCUUUGGUUGGUGCCAGUUCGAAAUGUGUUGGAAUAAUUACCAUCACAUGUGGAUGGUGCCUUAAGACUAAAUUUAAUAUUUAUUUUCUUGGGGAACAUCAACUGUUGAAAGCAGAAAGCUCAAAUCACUGUUCUCUCUAGGUGAUACCAAUGAGAUUUUUGUGAAAAUGCACAUUUGCUACAAACCACCUUCUCUCAUCUUUCCCAAGACAGAGAUGUCUCACUGCAAAAAUGUCCCUGGUCUUUUUCUUAGACUCACUGGUGAGCCUUUGUGUACCUCAGUUCAAUCGCUCUCUCUUUCUUUCCUCUUUCUUUCCUCUCUCUUUUCCUCUUCCUUCCUUCCCUCUUUUUCUCUCUUUCUUUCUUUCUUUCUCUUUCCUUCCUUCCUUCCUUCCUUCUUUCCUUCUUUCUUUCUUUCUUUCUUUCUUUCUUUCUUUCUUUCUUUCUUUCUUUCUUUCUUUCUUUCUUUCUCUCUCUUCUUCCUUCCUUCCUUCGUCCCUCUUUCUUUUUUCCUUCCUUCUUUCUUUCUUUUUGAUAAAGCAAAGAGAGAAGUUUAUUAUUUCUCCUAAACAAAUGCUGGGUGAAGGGAAUUACCUUCAAAGCUCUCUCUCCUCUGCCUUCUGCUUGGCACAGGGGCCUCCCACUUAUGGCCUCAUCUGUCUCACGUCCUGUCACUGGCUCUCUCCCCCUCUUUACAUCCCAGCCGUCUGUGUUGCCAGGGAGUUCAUGGUGGUGCCCAUGGCAAACACUUCUUCUUGUGGACCUGGAGCCUGCAGUGUCUCCCCUCUUCUCUGCCCGAUUCCUUCUCAUCAGAACUGCCUGCUCCGGGCUCCAAGGAGUCUGUUCUCUCCCUUUCUGAAUGGAUGGGUGCCUUCCCUAGCAUCUGCUGCAUCUCCUAUUAUAUUUUAUAACAUUUUGGACAUUUUUUCACCUACUUUUCCUGUUGGUCUGUGACCUCCCUUAAUCUUUGAACAUCUCCUUUACACAGUACUUGAGGAUGGAUUUCCAUCUGGUGUCCCCUGGACACUAUAUUAGUUUGCAAACCAAGCUGCCACAGUAGGAAACAUGGGCAUAGGAAUGGUUUCUCUGCCGUCUCCCUGCUCUUUUUUUUUUUUUUUUUGACUAAAAUUUUAUUUUGAUUAUUGCCCUAGAGAUAAUCGAAGAGCAAAGGAUAAAAAAAAUAAAGGUUGAAAGAAAACAGGAAAAGUCCUUCACCAUAAAAGCGGUGAAAAAGCCAAAGUCUUCAGAAAACCUCGACUGCCUGUUAACAUGUUUAAAACAACUCUGGUAUAAAAUGAGCAGUGGCACCGACAGGUGACUCGGGCGCAGUUGAAAAUUUGUGAGGAUGGUGAGGACACCGAAAGUCUAUAAUGUGCUUUUUUUUGAAGGACGAAGGUCUUUUAAUUGACAUGUGAAAACCAGUAUAUGUUUGGCUCAGAGAUCUGUUACUAACUAGAUGCCAAAGAGGAAUGAUGACCUGGGACAAAGAACCUAGCCAAUAUGAUUGACAUCGGGCAGAGGAGGGCAUUGGGCGUUCCGAAGCCUUGCGCCCUCUGCUCAUCACACAUCGCACCAGCCGUCAAUGAAAGGAACAAGGGACGCCUAUGGGUCACCAUCUGGAAGACUCUCUGAGUUAAUACCGGGGGAUGGUGCCGUGGCUUUACUGUCUGAUGCGAAGAGAGGCUGUGAAGGGAGAUGGAGUGACAUUCUCCGGAUAAAGCAACAAUGUUUACGUCUUCAUAGUGAACUUUAGCCCCCCAAAAUCCUGUGCAUUGUCCACAUCUCACGGGGCACAAAUCGAGUGUGACAGUAAGACUUUGUCGUAAGUUUCUGCAACCACUUCUUAAAUUUCUUUUUCCCACUAGAACUUUAAGGCUACUCUUUUCCUAUUGCAUUUCUAUGAAAAUGAAAAGGUAGAUCUUAUCUUUCACCAGGGAGCCUUUCGCGUAUAUAAAUAAUGGCCAUAGCCAUGUGUGUUUGAUUUAUCGCUCAGACCGUAGCAGCGUGCUGCAUGGUCAUUGGUGUUCAAGGUUUAAGCGUCGCAUGUCUCCUAGUGGGACUAUUAUAUUUUAAGUAGAAUUCUUGUCAUUUAUUUUUCGUCUCUCCUCCUCUGUUUAAUCUCAGAUUAUGCCAUAAAGGUAACCAGCUGCAGAAAUGGAAGAGAGCUCCAAGUCCCGUGGAGCUGGCCACUCUGAAAAGGGCCGAUAAGAUCUUUGCAGUCUCAGCAGAGCAAGGCCAGAGGGCAAUGUGUGGUUUGCUUUAUGCUAACCAGAAUGUUCUCUUCUCAUGGCACACGAGUCAGUCCUGCUAAGAGGAGGACACGGUGUCCCAACACUAGAGCAGCUGUCUUUUUGCUGUUGUUGUUGUGAUGACGUGUGAGCAAAUCUAUAGCGCUUAAUUACAAAAACAUAUGAUGCCAGCAAGCUGAUACACUGAGAGAUUGAAAAUCGGGUUUGGGGCAUGUCCGUUUCCUCUGACGCUUCCAGUGUCACUGGCGGAACACAGUAUGGAUAGGUUUUUCUGGAAAUCGCCCCGGACAAGUUUAAUCCUUUUCUUAGUUCCUCCCAACACCAGGAGCAUUUUAUAACCAUGGGUCAUUUGUGGAGUCCUUUUCCUUGGUAAGUUAGUUAAUGAAAAUAAAACCUCUAGAGAAACUACACGAAUGUCUUGCUUCUGUGUAGAUCCAUUUAAUAUCUCCCCUCCUCCUCCUUUUUUGGAGAAAAGACCUCAUCCAGGGCUAUUUUCUUUUUCCUCUGACAGCAGGAUUGAAGUGAGUCUCAAUGUGGGGAGAAGGACAGAGAGUGUCUGGAAUUUCAAAAUAGAAACGUCAGAGUUUCAGAUACUGCAAAAGGCUUGAUUCAUCCGUGUCCAACAUAAAGGACUGAGGGCUUUUUAAACAGAAGAGCCCCUUUAAGGCAUUUAAAAUCUUUAACAUGCUUUACAUACCCAUUUGACACAUAUGACGUCUUAGAUUCAGCACAGCCUUGGCAGUUGAAGGAGCCUCUCCACCACAUUCACAAUAAGAGGUCAUUACACUUUCUUCUAAGUUGCCAGUGAUGGGAAGGGUGCCACCUCCUUUGAAAGCCAGACCUAUUUGCAUGCAAAGUAAUUCUUCAGGGGAGUUCUCAUCGUGGCUCCAUGGCAGCAAAUCCAACUAGGAUCCAUGAGGAGGCAGGUUUGAUCCCUGGCCUCGCUCAGUGGAUGAAGGAUCCAGCACGGCCGUGAGCUGUGGUGUAGGUCGCAGAUGUGGCCCGGAUCCUGUGUUGCUGUGGCUGUGGCGUAGGCCAGCAGCUGCAGCUCCUAUUCGACCCCUAGUCUGGGAACUUCCAUAGCGCAGGUGUGGCCCUGAAAAGCAAAAAACAAUAAAAAAAAAUAAUAAUUUUUUUUUAGGUAGUUCUUUCUUACCUGGAGCUAUUAUCUUCCUUUCUGUAAUUUUCACCUGCUUGGUUUUUGUUUUGUCCUCCAAAAGUCUCGGUGAAUGACUCUUCUCCACGGGGCCAUGCUUCAGAUAUUUAGAAAUGGUUUCAUACUUCCUUUCUUUUUCCAUCUCCUAUUAAACCUCUUCAAAAUUAUUUACUGUUACUCAGAAUUUUGCUCGUCAAAGACCUGUCGCUAAAAGGGAACAGGCACACAUAGAAUAUGCCUCAUGAUAUAAGAAUUUCAUAAUUAUUUUUCUCUACAAUUUUGCUAUUUCCAUUUCUGAAUACUUUUAAUUGUUAAUUUAACUUGGAAGAGAGUCAGCAAUUUUUUUUUCAUUUUCUUUCUCUUUUUUCCAGCUACUGUUGAAUUUAUUUCUGAAGUCUGUUUUUUAAAUUCUGAAUUGUAGUAUUUCUAAGCCUUACUUAAAUUCAGGGACAGAUCUCUUUGCUGUUCUUCAACCCCACACCUGAACAUUUUUUUUUCUUCAACUGUCUCUUCCAUUUCUUUUUCCACCUUCUUUCCAGGCAUUCUUUCAUUUUCAGAACUUAUCUUUCUUUCGUUUUUCUCUUUUCUGGCAUAUGGACUU
Sus scrofa (pig) is the source of this 13785-nucleotide non-coding RNA. Lineage: Eukaryota; Metazoa; Chordata; Mammalia; Artiodactyla; Suidae. The record is from RefSeq and is a predicted model, not a curated record.